AGUCACUGACAUUAGAUACCCCUGUAGUCCAGGGUGUAAACGCUGCAGACUUGGUGUUGGGGCCCUUUGGGGGCAUUCAGUGCCGGAGAGAAGUUGUUAAGUCUGCUACUUGGGAGUACGUCCGCAAGGAUGAAACUUAAAGGAAUUGGCGGGGGAGCACCGCAACGGGAGGAGCGUGCGGUUUAAUUGGAUUCAACACCGUAAAACUCACCAGGGAAGACUGUUACAUGAAAGCCGAGAUGAAGACUCUGCUAGAUUUUCAG
This 263-nucleotide ribosomal RNA is filed under the name uncultured archaeon. RNAcentral's name for it is "partial 16S ribosomal RNA". It matches the Rfam family "Archaeal small subunit ribosomal RNA", at positions 718 to 982 of the family's 1478-position model. The record is from RNAcentral.